This 71-nucleotide transfer RNA is filed under the name Vitis vinifera (wine grape). RNAcentral's name for it is "transfer RNA-Val". It matches the Rfam family "tRNA". From Rfam's summary of the family: Transfer RNA (tRNA) molecules are approximately 80 nucleotides in length. Lineage: Eukaryota; Viridiplantae; Streptophyta; Magnoliopsida; Vitales; Vitaceae. The record is from RNAcentral.
GGUGUCGUGGAACUGGUUAUCAUGUCAGUCUAACGCACUGAAGGUCUCUGGUUCGAGUCCGGGCAACGCUA